Molecule: long non-coding RNA, 203 nt
Organism: Penaeus monodon (black tiger shrimp)
Lineage: Eukaryota; Metazoa; Arthropoda; Malacostraca; Decapoda; Penaeidae
Exons: 4
Source: RefSeq, a predicted model, not a curated record
AGGAUGCCAUGGAAUCUCGGCAAGUCCUGUCAGAAAAUAGGAAGCCAGUUGGCCGUGGAAUAACACUUCAGCAGAAAGGAAGCCUCAUGCCAGAAAGACUAGAAAACAGGAAGCCGGUUGGGCGUGGAAUGACACUCCAGCAGAGAGGAGCCUUCAUGCCACAAAAGCUAGGAAAUCCAUAUGCACCGUGUAGCAUCUUAGAU